Molecule: ribosomal RNA, 253 nt
Filed under: uncultured bacterium
Lineage: Bacteria
Description: partial 16S ribosomal RNA
Rfam family: Bacterial small subunit ribosomal RNA
Source: RNAcentral
UACGAGAGGCCCAAACGUUAUUCGGAAUUACUGGGCUUAAAGAGUUCGUAGGCGGCGCAGAAAGUAGGGUGUGAAAGCCCUCGGCUCAACCGAGGAAUUGCGCUCUAAACUACUGUGCUCGAGGAAUCUAGAGGUGAGCGGAACUGAUGGUGGAGCGGUGAAAUGCGUUGAUAUCAUCAGGAACACCGGAGGCGAAGGCGGCUCACUGGGGAUUUUCUGACGCUGAGGAACGAAAGCCAGGGGAGCGAACGGG